RNAcentral lists this ribosomal RNA (497 nucleotides) under uncultured bacterium. Its description in RNAcentral is "partial 16S ribosomal RNA". It matches the Rfam family "Bacterial small subunit ribosomal RNA", at positions 28 to 507 of the family's 1533-position model. The record is from RNAcentral.
GAUGAACGCUGGCGGCGUGCCUAAUACAUGCAAGUCGAGCGAACAGAUAAGGAGCUUGCUCCUUUGACGUUAGCGGCGGACAGGUGAGUAACACGUGGGUAACCUACCUAUAAGACUGGAAUAACUCCGGAAAACCGGGGCUAAUGCCGGAUAACAUGUUGAACCGCAUGGUUCUACAGUGAAAGGCGGCUUUGCUGUCACUUAUAGAUGGACCCGCGCCGUAUUCGCUAAUUGGUGGGGUAACGGCUCACCAAGGCAACGACACGUAGCCGACCUGGGAGGGUGGUCGGCCACACUGGAACUAGGACACGGUCCAAACUCCUAGGGGGGGCAGCAGUAGGGAAUCUGCCGCAAUGGGCGAAAGCCUGACGGGGCAACGCGGCGUGAUGAAUGAAGGUCUUCGGUUCUAAAAACUUGUUUAUUAGAGAGAAACAAAUGCGUAAUAAACUGUGCGCGACUUGACGGUACCUAAUAAGAAAGCCACGGCUAACUACGUG